CUAGAAACUUCCAGGCAGGUGUGUUGAGGCAAGUUCACUGAAAUAAUUAUUCAUUGAAUUUACUAAAUUUUUUUAAGUGUUGGAGCUAAACUCUGCAGGACACUGGCCCUCCAGGACCGAGUUUGGACAGCCCUGCUUUAAAACUAUGAAGUAAGUCAACAAACAAUUCAGGACAGAAAUUGUGCUGUGAAAGUCAUUUUUAUGGGAUUUUGCGCUGUGCUCCGGGCAGCAUUAGUCGAUUCAAUCUCAGAGACAGCCGGAGUCAUUCAGCCCUCAGUCACAGUCUGUUCAGAGCGGCGCGGCAGGAAGCGAGUCUGGCUGAAGAUGUGUUCCUCUGAUGCUGCCGUGGCUCCAAAGAAAGACGACACCUGAUCUUAUAUCAACCUGCCAGAGCUCCUGACUGAUAUCAUUACCUUCUUUUCUCCAUUGCCUUUUAUCUUCCAGGGGCAUUUAAAAGGUUUUGCCAUCUGUCCAAACUAUAAAUGCACCGUCCUUGAAUCUAAUGUUUCCUAUUCUCUCUUCCUUUGUCCCCAUCUCAAGAUGGUUGGUUCUUCUUUAGGCUGUUGCUGUUUUCUCUCUCUCUGUGCUUUACGGGCACUCAGGCAGCUUGAAUAUACAGCGGAAUCAAAGUGUUUGGAUAUUUAAGUAACACUUCAUGUCUGAAUGUCACUGCGUCAGAUAAAACGUAAAACCAGGUGGCAUUUAUUUGGGAAAAGG
Long non-coding RNA from Onychostoma macrolepis, 717 nucleotides. RefSeq lists it as uncharacterized. The record is from RefSeq and is a predicted model, not a curated record. Lineage: Eukaryota; Metazoa; Chordata; Actinopteri; Cypriniformes; Cyprinidae. The transcript has 3 exons.